AAAGGAUCACUUGAACCCAGGAGGUGGAGGUUGCAGUGAGCCGAGGUCACGCCACUGCACUCCAGCCUGGGAGACAGAA
This 79-nucleotide small nuclear RNA is filed under the name Homo sapiens (human). RNAcentral describes it as "partial ncRNA". The record is from RNAcentral. Lineage: Eukaryota; Metazoa; Chordata; Mammalia; Primates; Hominidae.